RNAcentral lists this unclassified non-coding RNA (375 nucleotides) under uncultured Actinomycetes bacterium. RNAcentral describes it as "uncultured actinobacterium contains 16S-23S intergenic spacer region". Lineage: Bacteria; Bacillati; Actinomycetota; Actinomycetes. The record is from RNAcentral.
UCCGGUUUGUCACCGGCAGUCCCAUUAGAGUGCCCAACUGAAUGUAGCAACUAAUGGCAAGGGUUGCGCUCGUUGCGGGGCUUAACCCAACAUCUCACGACACGAGCUGACGACAGCCAUGCACCACCUGUACACGACCCUUUAAAGGACCCGACAUCUCUGCCGGAUUUCCGUGUAUGUCAAACCCAGGUAAGGUUCUUCGCGUUGCAUCGAAUUAAGCCACAUGCUCCGCCGCUUGUGCGGGUCCCCGUCAAUUCCUUUGAGUUUUAGCCUUGCGGCCGUACUCCCCAGGCGGGGCAUUUAAUGCGUUAGCGCCGGCACGGGAGGAGUCGACACCUCCCACACCUAAUGCCCAUCGUUUACGGCGUGGACUAC